UGAGUUCUCCUGCUUCAGCUCCUUAUUGC
RNAcentral lists this non-coding RNA (29 nucleotides) under Homo sapiens (human). Lineage: Eukaryota; Metazoa; Chordata; Mammalia; Primates; Hominidae. The record is from RNAcentral.